Molecule: ribosomal RNA, 253 nt
Filed under: uncultured bacterium
Lineage: Bacteria
Description: partial 16S ribosomal RNA
Rfam family: Bacterial small subunit ribosomal RNA
Source: RNAcentral
UACAGAGGGUGCAAGCGUUAAUCGGAAUUACUGGGCGUAAAGCGUGCGUAGACGGUUAUGUAAGUCAGGUGUGAAAGCCCCGGGCUCAACCUGGGAAUUGCGAUGGAGACUGCAAGGCUUGAAUCUGGCAGAGGGGGGUAGAAUUCCACGUGUAGCAGUGAAAUGCGUAGAGAUGUGGAGGAACACCGAUGGCGAAGGCAGCCCCCUGGGUCAAGAUUGACGCUCAUGCACGAAAGCGUGGGGAGCAAACAGG